GACGAACGCUGGCGGCGUGCCUAAUACAUGCAAGUCGAACGCAGUGGGGACGGGUGAGUAACACGUGGGUAACCUCCCAUCAGAGGGGAUAACACUUGGAAACAGGCGCUAAACCCAUAUGGAUGGAUGGACACGCGGUGCAUUAGCUAGUUGGGGGGGUAACGGCUCACCAAGGCGACGAUGCAUAGCCGACCUGAGAGGAUGAUCGGCCACACUGGGACUGAGACACGGCCCAGACUCCUACGGGAGGCAGCAGUAGGGAAUCUUCGGCAAUGGGCGAAAGUCUGACCGAGCAACGCCGCGUGAGUGAAGAAGGUUUUCGGAUCGUAAAGCUCUGUUGUUGGAGAAGCGGUAUCUAACCAGAAAGCCACGGCUAACUACGUGCCAGCAGCCGCGGUAAUUC
RNAcentral lists this ribosomal RNA (403 nucleotides) under uncultured bacterium. Its description in RNAcentral is "partial 16S ribosomal RNA". It matches the Rfam family "Bacterial small subunit ribosomal RNA", at positions 28 to 526 of the family's 1533-position model. The record is from RNAcentral.